AUGGACAUGACGAUCCUUUCCCCAAAUGAUCGACAAUGAACAUACUGUGCGAUAAUUUGUUUUCAUCUCAAAUGAGACGACUUCCAAGCCAGAAAUCCGAUCCUU
RNAcentral lists this small nucleolar RNA (105 nucleotides) under Zostera marina. Its description in RNAcentral is "Small nucleolar RNA Z103". It matches the Rfam family "Small nucleolar RNA Z103". Rfam says of the family: This family consists of several snoRNA Z103 sequences which are members of the C/D class of snoRNA which contain the C (UGAUGA) and D (CUGA) box motifs. This family seems to be found exclusively in plants. C/D box small nucleolar RNAs are known to act as a methylation guides for 18S ribosomal RNA. The record is from Rfam by way of RNAcentral. Lineage: Eukaryota; Viridiplantae; Streptophyta; Magnoliopsida; Alismatales; Zosteraceae.